This 494-nucleotide ribosomal RNA is filed under the name uncultured bacterium. Its description in RNAcentral is "partial 16S ribosomal RNA". It matches the Rfam family "Bacterial small subunit ribosomal RNA", at positions 28 to 507 of the family's 1533-position model. The record is from RNAcentral.
GACGAACGCUGGCGGCGUGCUUAACACAUGCAAGUCGAACGGAAAGGCCUGCUUUCCCUUGUGGAUUGCGGGUACUCGAGUGGCGAACGGGUGAGCAACACGUGAGUGAUCUGCCCCCAACUUGGGUAUAAGCCUGGGAAACUGGGUCUAAUUCCCGAUAGGACUGCAGGGUGGUGCCUGUGGUGGAAAACGAUUUUCUAGUGGUUGGGGAUGAGCUCGCGGCCUAUCAGCUUGUUGGUGGGGUAAUGGCCUACCAAGGCGGCGACGGGUAGCCGGCCUGAGAGGGUGGACGGCCACAUUGGGACUGGGAUACGGCCCAGACUCCUACGGGAGGCAGCAGUGGGGAAUAUUGCACAAUGGGCGGAAGCCUGAUGCAGCGACGCCGCGUGGGGGAUGACGGCCUUCGGGUUGUAAACUCCUUUCGACCGCGAGGAAGCCACCUGGUUGGAAGGGUGGUGACGGUAGUGGUAGAAGAAGCACCGGCUAACUACGUG